Long non-coding RNA from Astatotilapia calliptera (eastern happy), 1105 nucleotides. The record is from Ensembl. NCBI's taxonomy places the organism in Eukaryota, Metazoa, Chordata, Actinopteri, Cichliformes, Cichlidae.
CAUGGGAAAGUGGUAGAAAAUAGACACAAUUGUCUACUAGCAUCUAUUGUCCAGCACAUUUCCCUGAUUAGACAUUAAUGUCUAUGAUGUCCACCUUACUCCUAACCAUAUUUUCCCACCGGAAAACUUUACACCCUCCUGCUGUACACACACAGAGGCCUGAGGGAUCUUCCAGGAAUGGAGAUGCUUUUUCCAAUGAUCCAAUCAGUCAGUUCGUGACGAUUUAAUAUCUGUGGAUUUCUAAUCUGGAACAUAACCUGCUACGCAACAUGUUUGGCACAGUUGAGACCAAAAGAGCUGAAUAAAUCACUUAUUACAUUUUCAGAGGCAAAUAUGGAAGCUGGUGAAACCAUCACAGGUAAGAUCCACCUGCACAACCUUGGGACAACCUAAGGCAUGUUGCAACCACAAGUGCUUGACUUCAAUGCCACUGUGGGUAUUCACAAUGUGUGACACUAAUAUAUGUUUUUGUGCAGUGUGCAGGAACACGGGACAUGGUCCAACACAAAGUGAAAGUACAAAAAGAAAAGCAUGCUAAAAAAAAAAAAAAACAGGCAAGUAUGGAAGACUGGUUUGCUCAUGACAGGUAAGAUCUCCUUGCAGAACAAAGGCACAUGCAGUCAUGAGUACUUACCUGCGAGUGUUAAGCACAGCGUACAAUCUCAUGUUCUUGCAAAAGAACACACAAGACAAGAUUUUGACUGUAAUUCAGCUGAAUAGUGUUUGGGGAAGUUGUUAAGAUGGUUCCUAGUUUAGAGACAUUAGAAACUGCACAUGCUCAUCUUAAACUUCACCUGGACAACUUGGCAGACUCUGAAAUCCUUCUAGUCUCUGUGUCUCAGUAUUGUAGGUCAUCUCUCAUGUGACAGUUUAAACUGCCACCUCUCCUUCCUUGUUCAUCUGUGUGUAACCUCGUUGACUUUCUCUGCCACCAAACCUACACAUACUUUUUCUAAUGUGCCAACAUAGUUAACCUUUAGAUUCAACUUAAGGUUUCUUCCGGUGUCAAAUUUCUGAGCGGUAAAAACCCUGUGUGAGUAGUAAAUUAUCAUGGUUUUGUUACAAAAGACAAUAUCACUGUUUGUGGUUAACCUCACAAUUUUGC